This is a non-coding RNA of Pelobates cultripes (western spadefoot toad), 474 nucleotides long. The record is from the annotation of a GenBank genome assembly. NCBI's taxonomy places the organism in Eukaryota, Metazoa, Chordata, Amphibia, Anura, Pelobatidae.
AAUAGAUGUAAUUUCAAACAUGUCCAACUUUGAAUCUGCAGUCAAACAAUAUAUGCUCUCUCCUAAAGAGGCAUGUAUUAUGCUUAAAAUGUGGGCACCAAGCAGCAUUGCAUGCAGAUUAAAUUCCCCCAUAAAUGGGCCCAUUAAUCGGGAUCAAGAUUGGUUCAAAGAGGACAAAUGGGGGACAGAAGGAGACAGGCUUAGAGCAAUCUCCAAAUUGAUUACCGGAGAAAGAGAUUUAGACAGUCAUUUACUCGCUGAAAUGAAGGUACACUUACAGGAUGAUCCUUGGCUUUUUGCAUGUAAAUUUGAACAAGUGUACAGAUUAACCCACCGUAUACCACAAGACCAAACCCCUCCUGAUUUACUGCAAUACCUGAUAAAAAAAUUCACUUAUUUAGAUCCCGGAGUGCAAAUGAUAGCAGAGGAAAAAGACACUCUGGAAGGAGUUCUAACUAUUAUAGGAAAAGCUAG